CAUAGCCGCGGGAAUACGUAGGUGGCAAGCGUUGUCCGGAAUUAUUGGGCGUAAAGGGCUCGCAGGCGGUUUCUUAAGUCUGAUGUGAAAGCCCCCGGCUCAACCGGGGAGGGUCAUUGGAAGCUGGGAAACUUGAGUGCAGAAGAGGAGAGUGGAAUUCCACGUGUAGCGGUGAAAUGCGUAGAGAUGUGGAGAAACACCAGUGGCGAAGGCGACUCUCUGGUCUGUAACUGACGCUGAGGAGCGAAAGCGUGGGGAGCGAACAGGAUUAGAUACCCCGGUAGUCCCUGUCUCUUAUACA
This 301-nucleotide ribosomal RNA is filed under the name uncultured bacterium. RNAcentral describes it as "partial 16S ribosomal RNA". It matches the Rfam family "Bacterial small subunit ribosomal RNA", at positions 512 to 808 of the family's 1533-position model. The record is from RNAcentral.